AACGAACGCUGGCGGCAUGCCUAACACAUGCAAGUCGAACGAGACCUUCGGGUCUAGUGGCGCCCGGGUGGGUAACGCGUGGGAACCUGCCCUUAGGUUCGGCAUAACUCCCCGAAAGGGGUGCUAAUACCGGGUAAUGUUUUCGGACCAAAGAUUUAUCGCCUUUGGAUGGGCCCGCGUUGGAUUAGCUAGUUGGUAGGGUAAAAGCCUACCAAGGCGACGAUCCAUAGCUGGUCUGAGAGGAUGAUCAGCCACACUGGGACUGAGACACGGCCCAGACGCCUACGGGAGGCAGCAGUUGGGAAUAUUGGACAAUGGGCGAAAGCCUGAUCCAGCAAUGCCGCGUGAGUGAUGAAGGCCUUAGGGUUGUAAAGCUCUUUUACCCGGGAUGAUAAUGACAGUACCGGGAGAAUAAGCUCCGGCUAACUCCGUG
This 433-nucleotide ribosomal RNA is filed under the name uncultured bacterium. RNAcentral's name for it is "partial 16S ribosomal RNA". It matches the Rfam family "Bacterial small subunit ribosomal RNA", at positions 29 to 507 of the family's 1533-position model. The record is from RNAcentral.